Molecule: long non-coding RNA, 1350 nt
Filed under: Phasianus colchicus (ring-necked pheasant)
Lineage: Eukaryota; Metazoa; Chordata; Aves; Galliformes; Phasianidae
Description: lncRNA (ENSPCLG00000005888.1)
Source: RNAcentral
AUGCAACUCGGGAGGACUCCCAGCCUCCCGCACACAACGUGCUCCAGCCCCAAGCAGAGCCCAGCUCCCCACAGCACGCUCCCAGAGCCUUAUUUUCAGCAGGGACGCGAGGUUUAUUUCAGCAAAGCUGGGCCUGGCCUCUCCUGCCACCAACACAAACGCGGCCCAGCGGUGGGGUUGGCAUUCGGACCCUUAUUUCCCGGUUCUCCCCGUAUAAGAGCUCUCCACGGUUCUUUUUACAACCCCCGACUCAACGGGACGGCCCGAACCGCGCAGACACACAGCGGGACGGCGGGGAAGGAGCACCGCGGGGAGGGGUUUGACAGACGGCCAAGAAGCGCCUGUAUCUCGGCACGGCAGCGGACGGAUAGCCGGGCCGUAUCUGCCGGCCCAAACCCUGAGCUCGCACAGAAACGCAGGGAUACCUCCGGGGAGCUCGGUGGGAUCCGAGCAGGAGGAGCAGCCGGCUGUUUUCAGCUUGACUCAGCGCUCAGCCCCAGCGCCGAGCUCACCCCAUCCGCUCCUCUCCCAACACCGCCCCACUUCCUCCACCGCUCCAACGCAGCUCGUGCAGCGGGGCCGAACGCAGCGGGGCCGAACGCAGCGCUCCCACCGCCGCUCCCCAUCCCCCCCCCUUCUGCCCGGCGGCCCUGGAGGCGCUCCAGGGGAACCCCGCGCCGCCCCGCCGCCGGCCGCCAUCUCCCCGCACCCCCUCGGGGGAAAAGCAGCUGCCCGCCGCCCUUCCACCACCACCACCACCACCACCACCCCCCGCUCCUCCACGCCAGACCCGCGGAUCCCGCUCCGGCUCUACUCACCGCUUGCCGUCGCACCUCGGGCGGCCGUACCCCUCAGCCGCUCGCCCCAACGGGCCGGGGGACGGCGCGGCCCGGGGUCAGCGAUAGCGGAGCCCGCAGCGCUCGGCAGCGGCAGGGCGGCGGUCCGGCACGGCGGCGGAGGACCGCCUGCGGAGCAUGCGCCGGGCUGAGCCCGCCCGGGGGCGGUGCGUGGCCGCGUGGCCGCCUCCCACAGCGCGGCCGGAGGGGGGAUGCGGCCCCGAGCCGCCAUUUGCUGCCCGCGGGGGCCGGGACGGGGCUGAGGAAAGCCGGAGGGGGACGUGGGGCUGCGUGCUGGCUUGAGUUUAGUGACAGAACCUCAGAGUCAUUGAGAUUAGAGAAGCCUUCCAAGCGCCCCAAGCCCAGCCUACAACCCCAGCGCCCGCUGCCCGCGUCUCUCAGUGACACAUCCCCACAGCUCUGGAGCACCCCCAGGGAUGGUGAUCCCCCCCCCAGCCCCAUGGACGUGCUGUGUCGGUGUCUCACCGUGCUCUGGAGAAGACAUUUCUCCUAA